This 460-nucleotide ribosomal RNA is filed under the name uncultured bacterium. Its description in RNAcentral is "partial 16S ribosomal RNA". It matches the Rfam family "Bacterial small subunit ribosomal RNA", at positions 338 to 795 of the family's 1533-position model. The record is from RNAcentral.
CCUACGGGUGGCAGCAGUGAGGAAUAUUGGUCAAUGGCCGGAAGGCUGAACCAGCCAUGCCGCGUGAAGGGCAGGGACCUAUGGGCGUUAAACUUCUUUUGUGCGGGAGCAAUAAUGGUCACGUGUGGCCAGACGAGAGUACCGUACGAAUAAGCAUCGGCUAACUCCGUGCCAGCAGCCGCGGUAAUACGGGGGAUGCAAGCGUUAUCCGGAUUUAUUGGGUUUAAAGGGUGCGUAGGCUGUGGGGUAAGUCAGCGGGGAAAUGCCCCCGCUCAACGGGGUGAAGUGCCAUUGAUACUGCCUUGCUGGAAUGCGGAUGCCGUGGGAGGAAUGUGUGGUGUAGCGGUGAAAUGCAUAGAUAUCACACAGAACACCGAUUGCGAAGGCAUCUCACGAAUCCGCGAUUGACGCUGAUGCACGAAAGCGUGGGUAUCAAACAGGAUUAGAUACCCCGGUAGUC